UUUGGAUAAAAAUCCAACUGAACUAGAAAUAGAAAAGAUUUCCUCCUAGCUCUUGGGAGAACUCUAAAGAACUAUUUCAUAGUUGCCUCUGGGUCUACAGGUCACAAGCUGAAAAUGCAGCUCUGUGACCAGGGAAAAGGACUUCAGCUGUUCCCUGCUGAUGACCAAUGAGCUUUGAAUGACGGUUGAUAUAACUUGGGUGACGAGGUUUCUGAAUUACAGCUUUCGUCUGGAUAUCUCAAGGCAGUGAACAGCUGCUGGGUGCAAGGUGCUCGCUGCCCUCUUCUGAACUUCACAGAAACCUCAAGAAGAGCGGACAGAGGAGAACAGAGGAUGGACUGACUGUUCCAUAAACAGAGAGGGCAGAAAAUGUCUCCUGUCUGAUGAAAUUUUUUUCAGUGGAAAGUGUAUAAUUUAAUCAAGAUGGAAAUGUUGCACAGGAA
This 443-nucleotide long non-coding RNA is filed under the name Struthio camelus australis. Its description in RNAcentral is "lncRNA (ENSSCUG00000014619.1)". Lineage: Eukaryota; Metazoa; Chordata; Aves; Struthioniformes; Struthionidae. The record is from RNAcentral.